UACGGAGGGUGCGAGCGUUGUUCGGAAUCACUGGGCGUAAAGCGCGUGUAGGCGGCCUGCUAAGUCUGAUGUGAAAGCCCGAGGCUCACCCUCGGAAGCGCAUUGGAAACUGGCAGACUGGAGUCCCGGAGAGGAGAAUGGAAUUCCUGGUGUAGCGGUGAAAUGCGCAGAUAUCAGGAAGAACACCCGUGGCGAAGGCGGUUCUCUGGGACGGUACUGACGCUGAGACGCGAAAGCGUGGGGAGCGAACAGG
Molecule: ribosomal RNA, 253 nt
Filed under: uncultured bacterium
Lineage: Bacteria
Description: partial 16S ribosomal RNA
Rfam family: Bacterial small subunit ribosomal RNA
Source: RNAcentral